Molecule: long non-coding RNA, 445 nt
Organism: Amphiprion ocellaris (clown anemonefish)
Lineage: Eukaryota; Metazoa; Chordata; Actinopteri; Pomacentridae
Source: Ensembl
AGAGAGGACAGGGGAGGUGCUGGGAAAAGGUGGAGACUGACGAUGGGAGAAAAGGAGGUCCUCAGUAGUUCAGUUUACGCCUGUUCUCUGAGGCCACUUCAAUUUUGACAAGCUGGAGAGCUGUUUCAUCAUUUCUUCACAAGUCCUUUUGUCACUUUUCUAGUGACAGACUGGGAGAUGAGCAGUUUAGGAACAUGGACAUCCAAUUGUCUCUUUUCUUUUAAGAUGUACAUCAGCAGCAGCCAAACUAAACCUCACCAGCAAGUCCAGCAGCAACGGGACAAGGGCCUGCGCCGUGGUAACGAAAUAAGUUGCUCACGGGACACUGAGGCAACAUCAGGACACGAUCAAAUCGCUUGGCUCCACAAAAGUCAGUAGAUCUGCUGCUUUUUAUAUUUUGGUGCAAUGGCUGAUGUUCCCAUUUCAUAUAAAUAGCGUAUGUGAC